CCUACGGGAGGCUGCAGUAGGGAAUAUUGCUCAAUGGGGGAAACCCUGAAGCAGCAACGCUGCGUGGAGGAUGAAGGUCUUCGGAUUGUAAACUCCUUUUGUUAGAGAAGAUAAUGACGGUAUCUAACGAAUAAGCACCGGCGAACUCCGUGCCAGCAGCCGCGGUAAUACGGAGGGUGCAAGCGUUACUCGGAAGCACUGGGCGUAAAGAGCGCGUAGGCGGGAUAGCAAGUCAGAUGUGAAAUCCUAUGGCUUAACCAUAGAACUGCAUUUGAAACUGGUAUUCUAGAGUGUGGGAGAGGUAGGUGGAAUUCUUGGUGUAGGGGUAAAAUCCGUAGAGAUCAAGAGGAAUACUCAUUGCGAAGGCGACCUGCUAGAACAUAACUGACGCUGAUGCGCGAAAGCGUGGGGAGCAAACAGGAUUAGAUACCCUUGUAGUC
This 440-nucleotide ribosomal RNA is filed under the name uncultured bacterium. RNAcentral's name for it is "partial 16S ribosomal RNA". It matches the Rfam family "Bacterial small subunit ribosomal RNA", at positions 338 to 795 of the family's 1533-position model. The record is from RNAcentral.